AUGUCACCUGAAGCACUGUGUUUAUUCCUCACGACUGCAGCUGUUCUAACGGGACUUUGUCGAGGAGAUUCUGUCUCACAGACAAUGGCUUCGAUCGUAGUGAAUGAGGGAGACAGUGUCUCGAUGUUCUGUAAUUAUACCACAACAAGCAAUGCUCCUUACCUUUUCUGGUAUCGUCAACAUUCCAGUGGCUCCAUGGAGUUUCUGCUACAGAGGAGCAAAUUUGGCGUGAACACAGAAAGUUUUGAAGGAGACCGGUUAUCCUCAGAGCUCGAGCAUGUCAACCACACCAUCUACCUGAAAGUGGUGAAAACAGAACUGUCAGACUCUGCAAUGUAUUACUGCGCACUUUAUCCAGGACUUCGCAGGCUUGCUUUCGGAUACCAAUCAGAGAGUAGGAUGUAA
Non-coding RNA from Hemiscyllium ocellatum (epaulette shark), 405 nucleotides. The record is from the annotation of a RefSeq genome assembly. Lineage: Eukaryota; Metazoa; Chordata; Chondrichthyes; Orectolobiformes; Hemiscylliidae.